Molecule: ribosomal RNA, 746 nt
Filed under: uncultured bacterium
Lineage: Bacteria
Description: bacterial SSU rRNA
Rfam family: Bacterial small subunit ribosomal RNA
Source: RNAcentral
AGAGUUUGAUCCUGGCUCAGAUUGAACGCUGGCGGCAGGCCUAACACAUGCAAGUCGAACGGUAACAGGAAGCAGCUUGCUGCUUUGCUGACGAGUGGCGGACGGGUGAGUAAUGUCUGGGAAACUGCCCGAUGGAGGGGGAUAACUACUGGAAACGGUAGCUAAUACCGCAUAAUGUCGCAAGACCAAAGAGGGGGACCUUCGGGCCUCUUGCCAUCGGAUGUGCCCAGAUGGGAUUAGCUUGUUGGUGAGGUAACGGCUCACCAAGGCGACGAUCCCUAGCUGGUCUGAGAGGAUGACCAGCCACACUGGAACUGAGACACGGUCCAGACUCCUACGGGAGGCAGCAGUGGGGAAUAUUGCACAAUGGGCGCAAGCCUGAUGCAGCCAUGCCGCGUGUAUGAAGAAGCCUUCGGGUUGUAAAGUACUUUCAGCGGGGAGGAAGGGGUUAAGGUUAAUAACCUUAGCCAUUGACGUUACCCGCAGAAGAAGCACCGGCUAACUCCGUGCCAGCAGCCGCGGUAAUACGGAGGGUGCAAGCGUUAAUCGGAAUUACUGGGCGUAAAGCGCACGCAGGCGGUCUGUCAAGUCGGAUGUGAAAUCCCCGGGCUCAACCUGGGAACUGCAUUCGAAACUGGCAGGCUUGAGUCUCGUAGAGGGGGGUAGAAUUCCAGGUGUAGCGGUGAAAUGCGUAGAGAUCUGGAGGAAUACCGGUGGCGAAGGCGGCCCCCUGGACGAAGACUGAC